Molecule: long non-coding RNA, 699 nt
Organism: Bombyx mori (domestic silkworm)
Lineage: Eukaryota; Metazoa; Arthropoda; Insecta; Lepidoptera; Bombycidae
Exons: 2
Source: RefSeq, a predicted model, not a curated record
UGUCAGUAUGGUCCUUGUUUUUAGUUUACAGGUACUGAAAUACUAUGGUCUGUAAAUAUUCAAUUAUAUUUAACGAGAAAACUCCGCUUUUCGGCCCUAGCUGGAGCGCGAAAAUUAUCCGAAAAUGGCGGGAACCUACCUCGAUGGCGUCUAAUGACACGGGAUCACCACAAUAAUGCCGGAGUUAGAUUACCAUGAAACAAACAUAUAGGUGCCUAUAUGUUAUUUGAUACAGAGGCUUAGUUUUAAAUUUCAAAUAAACAUGUAAAUUUAGGACACCGUACCUUUUAUUAUCUAAGGUGGUAUUAGAAGUACUUCGAGUCAGAGUCGUUUGAAGGGCUGACAGAUAAUCCUACCGUUCAUUCAUUGCCCUGGCAAUGUUGAGAUACUAGAAUAAAGGAUUUUUUUAAAUAAACUGUUCUAAAAGAUAUUAUGCAAAUAUAAUUCUUGCUGUUCUAACCAAAACGAAGAGAAACUUUAAAGAAUCAUAUCUACAUGUUAACCUUUCUUUCCUUUUUCUUUUGUAUGAUUAUCUUUUAAUCCUUCCGGUGUGAACAGUGCGUUAUUUUGACAGAGUUAUUUUGAAGGAGAACCUUUUUUUUCGUUUAGUAAUUGAUGCUGGACGCCAAUGGGAUCAGUUGGCCCACAAUUGUCUGAUUUAGACUAAUUUUUAAGGAUAAAUAAAAUAUAAUGUACGUU